This 507-nucleotide ribosomal RNA is filed under the name Triticum aestivum (bread wheat). RNAcentral describes it as "partial small subunit ribosomal RNA". Lineage: Eukaryota; Viridiplantae; Streptophyta; Magnoliopsida; Poales; Poaceae. The record is from RNAcentral.
AUGGUGAUCUCAUACGGAUCGAUCACAUCUAAGAGGGUGCUGGCGCCGGCGCCAGCUCCUGUCACCACUAGGGUCAUGUGGAAGGCUCCCAUCAAAGAGAAUGGAAUGGGAAACUUGUACCUUCAGUGCAUACUACUCGAUCGGCAUGGAACAAAGAUGGAAGCGAUUGCAUACAACAACCAGGCAAUCCGUUUCAACAGCGUUCUAGAAACCAGUAGGACCUAUGAUUUCAAUCGCGUUGGUUUUAACCCCACAGAAAUGCCAGAUGGUCAUUUCUGGUACCUAGCCAUGGACUUUGUCGCCACGCUAAGUUCUACGGCCGAGAUGUGGUUGCUAUCCUUGCCUAUGUUGAGGCAUCGUUGCUUGCAAACUAUGAGGGAGAGCACAUUCUUCUUCUCUCCCAACAUUAAUUAUGAUCAUCAUUAUCUACAAGGUAGGGUAGGAACAAUGGACGUCAGAAGUAUCAUAGAUGCAAUUAGAUCAUCCUUGAGGGUAUUGGACGACUGA